Kalmusia sp. IMI 367209 is the source of this 88-nucleotide non-coding RNA. Lineage: Eukaryota; Fungi; Ascomycota; Dothideomycetes; Pleosporales; Didymosphaeriaceae. The record is from the annotation of a GenBank genome assembly.
GCCCGGUUGGCACAAUUGGUUAGCGCGUGGGACUUUUAAUCCCAAGGCUGUGGGUUGUAAGUCAACUGUUCGAAUACUACUCUGAACA